AAAGGAAAGUAAAGGCUAAGGAGAAGAAACCAUAUACUCCAUUCCCUCCUCAGCCACCAAGCAAGGUGUCCUCAAGAGUACUGGGAAGAAUGCCGACAAGCCAAAAAAAUGGAGAGACUUUAACAAAUUAAGGAGUACUAGGAGUUGCAGUCCCUCCUCUUCAUCAACAUCUAAGUAGAAAAUCUCGUGUUAUAUUGUUCUACCUUUAUUUUAAUAGUGUUAUCAUUUUGUUGGUUACUUAUGAAAUUUCUUCAGAAUGUUAUAGAUA
Zingiber officinale is the source of this 268-nucleotide long non-coding RNA. RefSeq lists it as uncharacterized. The record is from RefSeq and is a predicted model, not a curated record. The transcript has 2 exons. NCBI's taxonomy places the organism in Eukaryota, Viridiplantae, Streptophyta, Magnoliopsida, Zingiberales, Zingiberaceae.